GGUUAUAGUAGUGGUAGUGACUGGUUAUAGUAAUGGUGGUGACUGGUUAUAGUAGUGGUAGUGUCGACAGUAGUAGUGGUAGUGACUGGUUAUAGUAGUGGUAGUGACUGGUUAUAGUUAUAGUAGUGGUAGUGACUGGUUAUAGUAGUGGUAGUGUCUGGUUAUAGUAGUGGUAGUGACUGUGAAUGGUUAUAGUUAUAGUAGUGGUAGUGACUGGUUAUAGUAGUGGUAGUGACUGGUUAUAGUAGUGGUAGUGACUGGUUAUAGUAGUGGUAGUGACUGGUUAUAGUUAUAGUAAUGGUAGUGACUGGUUAUAGUUCUAGUAGUGGUAGUGACUGGUUAUAGUUAUAGUAAUGGUAGUGACUGGUUAUAGUUAUAGUAAUGGUAGUGACUGGUUAUAGUAGUGGUAGUGACUGGUUAUAGUAGUGGUAGUGACUGGUUAUAGUUAUAGUAAUGGUAGUGACUGGUUAUAGUAGUGGUAGUGACUGGUUAUAGUAGUGGUAGUGACUGGUUAUAGUAGUGGUAGUGUCUGGUUAUAGUAGUGGUAGUGACAGGUUAUAGUAGUGGUAGUGACUGGUUAUAGUAGUGGUAGUGACUGGUUAUAGUAGUGGUAGUGACUGGUUAUAGUAGUGGUAGUGACUGGUUAUAGUAGUGGUAGUGACUGGUUAUAGCAGUGGUAGUGGCUGGUUAUAGUAGUGGUAGUGACUGGUUAUAGUUAUAGUAAUGGUAGUGACUGGUUAUAGUAGUGGUAGUGACUGGUUAUAGUUAUAGUAAUGGUAGUGACUGGUUAUAGUAGUG
Molecule: long non-coding RNA, 798 nt
Filed under: Salmo salar (Atlantic salmon)
Lineage: Eukaryota; Metazoa; Chordata; Actinopteri; Salmoniformes; Salmonidae
Description: lncRNA (ENSSSAG00000118845.1)
Source: RNAcentral